AGAUCCGCCUUUUCUGCCGAACUGGCUUCUUCGAUGGAUCUACGUCUAAACGAUGCUCGACGAUUCUUCUGCUGAUCUCAGGCAUAUCUUGUGGUUCCCAUGUAAAGAUGUAUGCAUAGCAUCGAAGAAGUUCCAUGAGAUUUGUCCGGAGAGGUUUUGGCAAACCCAAACCAAUCUUCACUGUCUUAUCCUUCUUUCCCAGGACCAACUCAAUCUCCUAUGUCUCCCC
This 229-nucleotide long non-coding RNA is filed under the name Panax ginseng (ginseng). RNAcentral describes it as "long non-coding RNA (PGIN_LNC007635)". Lineage: Eukaryota; Viridiplantae; Streptophyta; Magnoliopsida; Apiales; Araliaceae. The record is from RNAcentral.